This 237-nucleotide ribosomal RNA is filed under the name uncultured bacterium. RNAcentral's name for it is "partial 16S ribosomal RNA". It matches the Rfam family "Bacterial small subunit ribosomal RNA", at positions 28 to 262 of the family's 1533-position model. The record is from RNAcentral.
GACGAACGCUGGCGGCGUGCUUAAAACAUGCAAGUCGAACGGGGUCCAACCUUCGGGUGAAGACCUAGUGGCGAACGGGUGAGUAACACGUGAGCAACCUACCCCAGAGACCGGGAUAAGCCAGGGAAACGUUGGUCUAAUACCGGAUACUCUCAUCGGUUCUAUGGACUGAUGAGCAAAUGGUUUUUCGUCUUUGGGAGUGGCGUCGCGGACUAUCAGCUUGUUGGUGGGGUAAGU